Small nucleolar RNA from Nerophis lumbriciformis (worm pipefish), 139 nucleotides. The record is from RefSeq and is a predicted model, not a curated record. Lineage: Eukaryota; Metazoa; Chordata; Actinopteri; Syngnathiformes; Syngnathidae.
UUAAGGCUCCAUCGAAGCCGUUCUUGCUGAUCUGUGGCAGUGAAUGGUCAUCAGGAAGCCGAGAUGAAACAUUCACCGACGGUCGCGGCCCAGCUUGACAAAGUAGCUGACGGCAGCAACAUUGUGGAGAAUAACAUUC